Molecule: long non-coding RNA, 618 nt
Organism: Juglans microcarpa x Juglans regia
Lineage: Eukaryota; Viridiplantae; Streptophyta; Magnoliopsida; Fagales; Juglandaceae
Exons: 2
Source: RefSeq, a predicted model, not a curated record
AACCUUAUGGUUAUGAAAUCCUUUUUUUUCUCUCUUCUUGCAUUUCCCAGCAAGCAAAUAGAUUAGGAAAAAAACCAAAGUGGCUCAAAUAAUGAGCAACUAAAAUUCCUCAAAACCCAAGAUCAUUCCUCUCUCCCCGAUUUCUCCCUCAUGCUAACUCUCCUCAGCCAACCACCAUAACACGUCGACGCUCGAUUGAGUUUGCUAAAUUGGUUAGACUUCUUUAUUCUACUUCCAAUAACCCUGAGGUAACCAACAAUGCUCUGAAUGUAUCUAUUUCAAUGGUUGAUUUUAGCCUGUUGGAACAUAUAUUUGGAUUGAAAAGGUUUUUGACUUUAAAUCAUCAUGAGUUUUUCUUCUCAAUUGAAGGAGAUUGAUUAUAAAUAAUUACACAUUAUCUUCUGUUCAAUGUAGGGAAUUCAAUUAAUAGAUUUAUAACAUUUCCUAUUUGCUUUUAGAGACAAAUUUUGACUUUGUGUGCUGUUCAUUGAUUCUCCUGCAUCUGUUUCUCUACUAUUCUAUUCAAUUGUCAAUGAGUUGUUACGUUGCAUGUAUAAAUGAAUAGCAGUAAGCUCACAUUGAUAGAUCAGUACAAAUUUAUCAUGAUCUCAUCAAUUA